GGCCCCGUAGCUCAACUGGAUAGAGCGUCGGCCUUCUAAGCCGAUGGUUGCGUGUUCGAGUCACGCCGGGGUCG
RNAcentral lists this transfer RNA (74 nucleotides) under Myxococcaceae bacterium. RNAcentral's name for it is "tRNA-Arg". It matches the Rfam family "tRNA". From Rfam's summary of the family: Transfer RNA (tRNA) molecules are approximately 80 nucleotides in length. RNAcentral also lists the same sequence under 1 other name. The record is from RNAcentral. Lineage: Bacteria; Pseudomonadati; Myxococcota; Myxococcia; Myxococcales; Myxococcaceae.